GCAGACGGGUGAGUAAUGUAUAGGAAUCUACCUAGUAGUACGGAAUAAUUGUUGGAAACGGCAACUAAUACCGUAUACGCCCUACGGGGGAAAAAUUUAUUGCUAUUAGAUGAGCCUAUAUUAGAUUAGUUAGUUGGUGAGGUAAAGGCUUACCAAGACAAUGAUCUAUAGCUGAUCUGAGAGGAUGAUCAGCCACACUGGAACUGAGAUACGGUCCAGACUCCUACGGGAGGCAGC
Molecule: ribosomal RNA, 237 nt
Filed under: uncultured Hyphomicrobiales bacterium
Lineage: Bacteria; Pseudomonadati; Pseudomonadota; Alphaproteobacteria; Hyphomicrobiales
Description: uncultured Rhizobiales bacterium partial 16S ribosomal RNA
Rfam family: Bacterial small subunit ribosomal RNA
Source: RNAcentral